GGUUGAGAACGUCUCGCUUAUUCAUUUUCCGGAUGAAUCUUGUGAAACUGAAAAGCUGAAACUGAAAAGCUCAGGUUUCACUCUAAUCCUUGAAUCCAAUCUUUCACAUUAUCAUCCAACCAUGCUUCAAAAACAGACCAGAGCUUUCACAAAAUCUUAUUUUUAAACAUUCACAAGAAGGAAGGGAUGAAGCCAGUCGGAAAAAGGGGUGUGUAAAAUGUUUAAAUCUCUCAAUUUUGAUAUUAAGCAAGCUAAUGGGCUUGUGUUAAAAAGUUCUGGUGGGGAAAUUUGAGACAGUCUUAAUUCCUUGAUAAAGUCUAUAACGUGUGGAGAGUGAAGUGACCAUUGUAAAAAUGGAGUUGGAAUUGGAGGAUCAAGAGGACAGGAGCAAGUGUUCCAAGUGCCUUGAAAAGUUUCGAAAAGUUCUCACUUUCCUGUUAUCUCACAUUGGUCUCAUAUCCCUCGUCGUCGGGUACUGUAUCAUGGGUGCUUUCACUUUUGAAGCUUUAGAAUCUUCACACGAACUGCAGGUUAAACGUAACAUGACCCAAGUUAGACAAGCAGUGACGCAAUAUUUGUGGACAAUGACCAAAAAUACGCAUUUAAUUCGAGAAGAAAUUUGGCUACAGAAUACAACUUACAGAUUGCAGGAAUUUGAGACAGAUUUGUUGCGAGCAAUGAAGAAAGGAGGUUGGGAUGGAUCUGAAAAUUUAUCAACGCAACAAUGGACUUUUUCUGGAGCUUUAUUUUAUUCUAUCGUCGUUGUUACAACAAUCGGUUACGGUCAUCUGACGCCCAAGACGGUGUUUGGGAAGGUCGUGACAAUAUUUUAUGCUAUCAUUGGGAUCCCGUUGAUGCUCCUAUGCCUGUCGCACAUCGGGGACUUCAUGGCCAGUUCUUUCAGAGUGAUUUACUGGAAGGUUUGCUGCUACAUGUGCACUCGCCGGAAAUCACCCCGGACAAUGAGACGCUAUCAAGGCAGUACAUUUCGACGUGGAAGAAGUCUGCGAUCCAAUAAUCCUUCCAGACCAGGGGGUGGGAGCACACGCGGGAUGAAAAGGUCAGCCUCAGCAGCACUAAGGUCAGCGAGGACUUCUCAGCGUUCAGAAGACUCUGCAUACUCGGCAGACUCGGCCAUCUUUACGCUCCCUGACCCUGGCAUUCGAAGAGUCCAUUCGGACGAUCAUUUGCGAGCUGCAUUGCCAAUGCGAAGAAUGAAAGAUUCUCCCCCACUGCACCUCCGCCCAGACAGCUACAAAAAUAUCCAGAAAAGGUCUACAAGAUCGGCAGAACCGGCUUUUGGGUCCAAGCGCAAUCUGUCCAUUUUAUGCAACAGAUACGCCGAAGAUGUUAUUACGGAUGAAGCUCAGAUUGUGAGAGCACCACAACAUGUUCGAGUAAGGCAAUUGAGGAGUCCUGAACGAUUUGCUUAUAGUGACUAUUGGGAAGAUGAAGCCGACGAGUACAUUUAUGGGAGCGACGACGAAGACAAUGCAGAUGUUCGCAAAAAACCUGUGCCGAUAGUUAGUACUGCAAAAUUUGACAAUUAUAUAAUUCAAGUUAAUUUACAGUUUGGUCACACAUAUGAGGAAAAAGAUUGGCAUAAAUUUCUCGACUGUAAAAAUAUAUAUUCUUCAAACUACUCUUUAAUUUAACCGUCAUUUGUUUUAAACAAAAUGCAUCCAAAAAUAAAACGACGCUACAUUCUCCACGCUGCUUUCUUAUCAAUUGAUAAGAAAAGCUUGGCGUCCCUUAUCAUCGAGGGAGAGAAAUGGAAAAGUGCUCACAUAACUCGUCUGCCCUGUCAGCGAGUUUAACAUCUUUUCUUCCUCUCUCCUCCACACUAUUGCGCACCUCCUAACGUUUUCACCAUCUUCCACCCUCUACCUACUUGUUUCAAGUCCUUUUAAGGGCGCAAGUAUGCUUCCCACAAAACCAAUUUCUCGGAAAACAACUCGGACUCGCCCUCUUGACACCGACCACCUACUCACGGACUCCACAGAUUCUAGUGAUGACGAUUCAGAAUUGUCCCCUGGCACUGCCCACCACAACACGGAUACAGGGCGUAGUAGAAGUUUGAGGGAACGAAAGAAGGUGUGUUAUACGGAGGAGGAUGACGACACGGAUUUUGCCCCUGACUCCGACCACCACAACUGGGAACCACCCUCCUCACCUGAUGACGACACGGAUUUCGACCCCGACACCGACCCCCACAACUUGGAACAACUUUCCCCUCUUGAUAACGACUCGGAAUUGUCCCCUGACACCGACCACCACAACUCGGAACCACCCUCCCCACCUGAUGACGACGCGGAUUCUGCCUCUGACACCGACCCCACAACUCGUUACUACCCUCCCCUCCUGUUUUUUCUGAAGAGGAGGAGGAAUAUAUUUUUGAUCGGCACCCACUCUCCUCAUCAUCCCCCCCACAACCACGUCUAAUGUUGACGUAUGGGGAUUCCGUGACGGAAUAUGUCCCCACCACCCCAUUACCACAUAUGGUUGGAGCGCCCGUCAAUUUUGACCUCUAUAUGCGACAUGGAGAUGGACCACUUAUUAGAGUGCAACCAAUGGUCAAUACUCCUCAGCCACCACCGCCAAUCGUUCUUCCACCACCCCCACCACCACAAGCUGACUUAUGGGAGCAACCAAAUGGUCAAAUAAAGUGCGUAUUUGAUGCUAUUAAAGCUCAUUUAAGAUGGGGGGAUAAUCCGGGCGAGACAGAUGCGAAUAUGGGUGGGAGUGAUGCGUUUUUGGAGCUUAUGAAGUCACUUCCGGUGCAAGGCACAUGUACUUUGGGGGUAAGCCCUCAUCGAACCACACCUAUUCGUGACAAGGACAACAGAAGAAUUGCGAUCAAAUGGCAAGGUGACGUCGUCAAAGCCUUGAUGUAUAAGGUGCAGAAAAGGAUGGUCUUGAGUUGGAAUGGGUCCAAGAAAAAAUGCACACGAGAAAAUUGUUGGGUUAAUUCACUGGACAGAAUGAUAGGAUACUGUCGUAAGGACUCGUCUAAACUCCGUGAAUUUUUGCUACUAAGAGACGCCACAAAUAUCCAACCAAACAUUUUCAUCCACCAUCCAGAUCUUCGGAUGAACGCAUUUGAUGAAGAAAAUAUAAAUGUAUACCUCCGAAGUGAACAUAUAGAUGGCAAACAUUUUCCAACAAUUGUCAAGUACAUCGCUUCACAUCCAAACUGCCGUUUUGUGAUUGAUAUGAGCUGGCGUUUUGACACAACUCUGUCCCCGAAGAAAUUCAACACUUUUUGCAUUGCAAUUUGCAUAAUGACUUUCCUCCACAACAACGCAUUUUCUAAUUCGACCCAUCCCAAAAUUCAACUAAGGAGGGGCUUGACCAUCUUCAAAAAUGCCCACUGGAAGGAAGUUCGGAAAAUUCUUGACCGAAACAAGUUCAAAUUUAUUGUGACCCCAGCUACCAACCAACUGACUCCAAAUAAAAUGUUCUCAAUCCGUGUCAUCAAGAAACAGGACCACACCUACCAAGGAGAUAAUGGGAACGGUGCAGUAAAAGACGGCCUUAUGACUUCGAAGACAACUGUCCAUACAUCAGGAGCAAGCGUAGGUAACGCCCUUCCCCACAAGCCACUUGCCCAACAUCUUGAGACCAUCGUCAUGCUCUAUCAGCAUAUUUUGGAUGACCCCGUCGAGACUGAGAUCCGCACUCGCCAUGCUGAAUUUAUGGGAAUAUUGGCCACAUUAAUGGGGACAAUUCUUCAGCAAGACUUCAAAGGACACCCAAUGAGACCCAUGACUGAACAACUUACCAACUAUAACAUAGUAUUUGACUACAAUGUGUUCACUAGACUUUUUCAAUUUAAAACAGGAUGCACUAUUGUUGUACAGAGAGAGGGGGAUGGAAUCCCAAUAAUCAAUGGAAAACCUCAAUUUCUGUGGUAGAAUGUUAAUUUGUUCACUUUGUUUUGUUUAUAUUCUACAAUUUUUUUUUACUAAACAUCAAUGAAUUACUUUAACCCCAUUCUUUGCAAAUAAAUAUGUCUGAUAUUUAGACGU
RNA transcript from Folsomia candida, 4028 nucleotides. It is a transcript of the gene named TWiK family of potassium channels protein 7, with no coding region annotated. Lineage: Eukaryota; Metazoa; Arthropoda; Collembola; Entomobryomorpha; Isotomidae. The record is from RefSeq and is a predicted model, not a curated record. The transcript is spliced from 18 exons.